GCAAAACGCGAAGAACCUUACCAGGGCUUAAAUGUAGAGUGACAGGACUGGAAACAGUUUUUCUUCGGACACUUUACAAGGUGCUGCAUGGUUGUCGUCAGCUCGUGCCGUGAGGUGUCAGGUUAAGUCCUAUAACGAGCGCAACCCCUGUUGUUAGUUGCCAGCGAGUCAUGUCGGGAACUCUAACAAGACUGCCGGUGCAAACCGCGAGGAAGGUGGGGAUGACGUCAAAUCAUCACGGCCCUUACGUCCUGGGCUACACACGUGCUACAAUGGCCGGUACAGAGAGCAGCCACCUCGCGAGGGGGAGCGAAUCUAUAAAGCCGGUCACAGUUCGGAUUGGAGUCUGCAACCCGACUCCAUGAAGCUGGAAUCGCUAGUAAUCGGAUAUCAGCCAUGAUCCGGUGAAUACGUUCCCGGGUCUUGUACACACCG
RNAcentral lists this ribosomal RNA (435 nucleotides) under uncultured bacterium. RNAcentral describes it as "bacterial SSU rRNA". It matches the Rfam family "Bacterial small subunit ribosomal RNA", at positions 954 to 1392 of the family's 1533-position model. The record is from RNAcentral.